AGCCGGGGAGUCAGCGGCACCCUGUACCUGCAAUCCGCUAUAGCAGGGGUGAUGUUCGGCCUAGGGCAAUCGUUUAUGGAGCUGCCUGGUGUAAGUGGUGUUGACAUUUGGGUCUUUCGCAAUGAGAAUUCAUGAAUCAUGUCAGGUCAGGAAUGAAGCAGCAUUAAGUGAAACCUCUCAUGUGCCGGAAGGAAGCCUGGAUCGAGCUAACUGCACCAGUACCGUC
This 226-nucleotide signal recognition particle RNA is filed under the name uncultured Lachnospira sp. Its description in RNAcentral is "Bacterial large signal recognition particle RNA". It matches the Rfam family "Bacterial large signal recognition particle RNA", at positions 8 to 231 of the family's 256-position model. Rfam says of the family: The signal recognition particle (SRP) is a universally conserved ribonucleoprotein involved in the co-translational targeting of proteins to membranes. Archaeal SRP consists of a 7S RNA and homologues of the eukaryotic SRP19 and SRP54 proteins. Lineage: Bacteria; Bacillati; Bacillota; Clostridia; Lachnospirales; Lachnospiraceae. The record is from RNAcentral.